CGGAGGAAAAACUCAGCGAGCCGG
This 24-nucleotide non-coding RNA is filed under the name Cricetulus griseus (Chinese hamster). Lineage: Eukaryota; Metazoa; Chordata; Mammalia; Rodentia; Cricetidae. The record is from RNAcentral.